Molecule: ribosomal RNA, 2772 nt
Filed under: soil metagenome
Description: bacterial LSU rRNA
Rfam family: Bacterial large subunit ribosomal RNA
Source: RNAcentral
UCUAUACUAUUUGGUAUAGGAAAGUAUAUAAAGAGAUUAUUAUGGAUGCCUAGCUAUAUAUUAAAGAGAGACAAUAAACAGUUUAAUUUGUGGUAGGAGAGAGAGAUAAACACAUGAACUCUUAGAUAAAUUCAAUAAUAAACGAAGUGAAUUGAAAUAUCUUAGUAACUUCAGGAAAAGAAAUCAAACGAGAUUCUAUGAUUAGUGUGAAUGAAAAUAGAACAGCCUAAAUAUCAGCUUAUAUACAAUAUUUUGUAAAAAAUCUGAUAAAUUAAGUAAGUAAAACGAGCAAAACUUGUUUGAAUAUAAAGGGGAACCUUCCUCUAAGGCUAAAUAUAAUAUAUAAGCGACAGCGUAUAGUACUGUGAAGGAAAGGUUUGAAAUAGUAGUCUUAUAAGCAGCUCGAGUUAAAUUUUUAAUAAAAAAUAAGAGCGUACCUUUUGCAUAAUGGGUCAGCAAGUUAAUAUUAGAUGCGAGCAGUAAUGCCCAGAUAAACCAAUUAUGAAAUAAUGAAUAAGUAUCUAAAAUUAGACCCGAAGCCUGGUGAUCUUACUACAGUCAGGGUUAUAAAAGCCCGAACGGGUUAUCGUUGUAAAGAUAUCCGAAGAACUGUGGUAAGUUAGUGAAAGACAACACUGACUAGGAUAGCUGGUUUUCUGCGAAACCUAUAUAAGUAGGUAAUUCAAGUAACAUCAUAGCAGGUACAGAACUGUGAUCUCAGGCAACUUAUAUUUAAUUAUUAUAUGUUUACAUAUAAUAACUAAAUAAUUUUGCAUAUAUCGGGCAAUCGUGAAGAUUUUAUCGGUGAGUAUUCGCACUCGGAAGGGCAAUGAUGAAUCUUGAAUAAUCGGACAUAGUACGAUAAGGUUGUAUGUCUAAAGGGAAACAGCCCAGAACAAGAGUUAAGGUUCCAAAAUUAUUGUUAAGUGAAAUUAAGGAUGUUUUUAUCCAAUACGACUAGGAAAUAGGCUUAGAAGCGGUCCAUUUUUUGAAGAUCUCGUAAUAGAGCACUAGUUUAGUAAAUGAUGCUUGCGCAGACAUUUAUAUUGAUAGUUGCACCGAAGAUUUAACGGAUCUAAACAAUAUACCGACACCUUGUCCAUAUUUAUUAAUAAUUAAAAUUAUUAUAUCUAAUGGGGUAGCAGAACGUUGGGUAAAUCUUAGAUUUAUUCUUUUUAAGUAUAAUUAUUAGAUAACCCAAGUGAGAAUGCUGACAUGAGUAACGAAAAAGGGAUAAACCCUCGCCUAAAGCUUAUGGUUUUUUUAAAGCAACGGCCUCUAAGUUUACCAACCUAAAGGAUUAAACGAUGAGCAAGAUCUUUGUUACAAAGUAACAACCUUUUUUUUAUGAUAAAAAAAUUAAAGUGAAAAAGGUUCUGGAAAAACAGUAACAGAUUAUAUCAUUUCAACAAACUAAAGAGAUGAGCAAUGAUAUGAGACAAAAAACCGUACCUAGAAACUACCACAAGUAAGCUAGUAGAGAAUACGAAGGCGUUUGAGUGAACAAUCAUUAAGGAACUCGGCAAACUAACUACCGUAACUUCGGAAUAAGGAGAGCCAUUCCUCCUGAUUAAUAUCAGGUAAUGAAUAGGAAGCAUGGAAUAGUGUUGUACGACUGUUUAAUUAAAACAAAGCACUCUGCAGUAAGAUAAUAAAUCAAAGUAUUGAGUGUGAAUUCUGCCCGAUGUCGGCUGGUUAACGGAUUUGCUAAGUUGACUAAUAUAAAUUUGGCUUUGAAGGAAACCCCGAUCAAUGGCGGCCUUACCGAUGAGGGUCCUAAGGUAGCGGAAUACCCUGGCCGUUAAAUGCGGUCUUGCAUGAAUGAUUUAACGAUACAACAGCUGUCUCGAUGAUUGGCUCAGUGAAAUUGGAAUAACUGUGCAGAUACAGUUUACCUCUAGUUAGACGAGAAGACCCUAUGCAGCUUUACUGUUGCUAGUUAUUGAAUGUGAUAUUGCGAAUUUUAGUGUAUAAGGUAGUGUUAGCACAAUUGAAACACCUUUGUUUAGUAUAUCAUGUUGGUAGACUUUGUCUACGUGAAAGUUUCAAAGUAUUGAAAAAUCUUUGUUAUAAUCAUUAACCUUCUUAUGAAGGAACAAUUGCUAGGAGGCAGUUUAUGCGGGGCACAGAUCCCAUAAAAAGUACCUGGGUGUAUCCAAAGUUAAUUUAGUAAAGUUGUUAUAAUUUAGUUAUGACAAUUAAAUAUACAAGUUUUGUAUAUUUUUUUUUUAGUUUGUUAUUUCAUGUAGCUUUAGCUAUAACUAAUCCAACUAUAUAUCUAUUGAGUUAGAACUAAUAAUUUUUAUUUAAGUAAGAUUUUAUCUAUAUGGCAAAUAGAUGUAAUUAAAACAUUAAGAUAAUACAAUAAUCAUGAAGAUAAUUAUUAUUAAAUUAUUUCUAAUGUUUUUAAUUAUAUUAUUAGUACGCUUAAUUUAUUAUAAUUUAAGUUUAAGAAAAUUCACUAAUAAUAUAAUUAUGAUUAUUACUUGUCAAGUUUAAUGGCUUAAUCUUGCUUUACUGUUUGACUUACACGUCUAUCAGUCGCGUAAGCGGGGCAUAUGAUCACAAGAUGCAGUAAGGAAAGGUCUUGGAUUUUUGAAAAAGCUACGCUAGGGAUAACAUUUGUCCCAAGUACUAUUAUGUACAAAAACAAGUAUAUAAUUAUAUUUGAUAAUUGGGUUAAUUUCAAGAAAAACUUUAUAAGUUAAUUUGAAGCGACAUUUACUUUUAAAGUAAAUACGUUCAACGACUAAUAAUCCAACAUUUUAUUUU